This 636-nucleotide long non-coding RNA is filed under the name Monodelphis domestica (gray short-tailed opossum). RNAcentral's name for it is "lncRNA (ENSMODG00000033009.2)". Lineage: Eukaryota; Metazoa; Chordata; Mammalia; Didelphimorphia; Didelphidae. The record is from RNAcentral.
CAACUGCUGACUGAUUUUCUGGGCUUCUUGGCUGAUGGUGGUGACUCUGAAGAAAGAAGCUGGGUUUAUCUCUGGGUCUUGGGAUAAUCAAGUUGGAAGUGGCCUGGCUGAUUUGAAGGUAGAAGGUAGAAGGUUGAAGACAGGAAACUGCCUUAUACUUCUCUUAUGUCCACCAAAUCACCUAACCCUGUGCUGGAUAUGUGCAUAGUAAUCAGCAAACUAAUUCCUCUCUAUUGUCUCCCAAUGAAGAAACUCCUACUAGCCAUUUAGAUUUCUCCUUGCUUUGUGAUGUCUAACCACAGGAUCUUACCUAGAGGACUGGGAAGUUAAAUGGUUGCUCAGAGUCACAUAGAAUGGACACAUCAAAGUGAGAAUUUGUACUUAAAUCAUUUUCACUCCCAUGUCAGGUUUUAAUCUGUUGUACUAUGCCAUCUUUAUAAACAAAGUAAACAUACAAAACACCAAAUGGAAAUUAUAGUCUAUAACUGGAUGAUGUAUUGGAAAGUGUUGCACUGACUUAGGUUUCAAUAUUUCCUCAGACACUCAUUAACUAAGUGAUCAUGGUCAAGUCAUUUAACUACUCUGGGCUUCAACUUCUAAAAUAAAAACUCUAGUAGCUAACUUGUGUAGUUUAUA